RNAcentral lists this long non-coding RNA (8053 nucleotides) under Homo sapiens (human). RNAcentral describes it as "HSALNT0271241". Lineage: Eukaryota; Metazoa; Chordata; Mammalia; Primates; Hominidae. The record is from RNAcentral.
AUAAAAUAUAAAAAUCCAGCCCAGUUCAUGACUCGUUUGGCAGCAACCCUGAGACACUUUACAGCCCUAGACCCUAAAAGGUCAAAAGGCCGUCUUAUUCUUAAUACACAUUUUAUUACCCAAUCUGCUCCCGACAUUAAAUAAAACUCCAAAAAUUAAAUUCCAGCCCUCAAACCCCACAACAAGAGUUAAUUAACCUCCCUUCAAGGUGUACAAUAAUAGAGUAGAGGCAGCCAAGUAGCAAUGUAUUUCUGAGUUGUAAUUCCUUGCCUCCACUGUGAGACAAACCCCAGCCACAUCUCCAGCACACAAGAACUCCAAACGCCUGAACCACAGCUUCCAGGGGUUCCUCCAGAACCUCCUCCCCCAGGAGCUUGCUACAAGUGCCAGAAAUCUGGCCACUGGGCCAAGGAAUGCCCACAGCCCAGGAUUCCUCCCAAGCUGUGUCCCAUCUGUGCAGGACCCCACUGAAAAUCAGACUGUUCAACUCACCUGGCAGCCACUUCCAGAGCCCCUGGAACUCUGGCCCAAGGCUCUCUGACUGACUCCUUCCCUGAUCUUCUCAGCUUAGCAGCUGAAGACUGACACUGCCUGAUUGCCUCAGAAGCCUACAGGACCAUCACAGAUGCUCUAGGUAACUCUCACAGUGGAAGGUAAGUCCGUCCCCUUCUUAAUCAAUACGGAGGCUACCCACUCCACAUUACCUUCUUUUCAAGGGCCUGUUUCCCUUGCCUCCAUAACUGUUGUAGGUAUUGGCGGCCAGGCUUCUAAACCUCUUAAAACUCCCCAACUUUGGUGCCAACUUAGACAAUACUCUUUUAAGCACUCCUUUUAAUUAUCCCCACCUGCCCAGUUCCCUUAUUAGGCCGAGACACUUCAACUAAAUUAUCUGCUUCCCUGACUAUUCCUGGGCUACAGCCACACCUCAUUGCUGCCUUUUCCCCCAGUUCAAAGCCUCCUUCACAUCAUCCCCUUCUAUCUCCCCACCUUAACCCAUAAGUAUAGGACACCUCUACUCCCUCCUUGGUGACAAAUGAUGCACCCCUUACCAUCCCAUUAAAACCUAAUCACCCUUACCCCACUCAAUACCAAUAUCCCAUCCCACACCAUGCUUUAAAAGGAUUAAAGACUGUUAUCACUCGCCUGCUACAGCAUGGCCUUUUAAAGCCUGUAAACUCCCCUUACAAUUCCCCUAUUUUACUGUUCUAAAUCCAGACAAGGCUUACAGGUUAGUUCAGGAUCUGCAACUUAUCAACCAAAUUGUUUUGCCUAUCCACCCAAUGGUGCCAAACCCAUAUACUCUCCUAUCCUCAAUACCUCCCUCCACAACCCAUUAUUCUGUUCUGGAUCUCAAACAUGCUUUCUUUACUAUUCCUUUGCACCCUUCAUCCCAGCCUCUCUUCGCUUUCACUUGGACUGACCCUGACACCCAUCAGGCUCAGCAAAUUACCUGGGCUGUACUGCCACAAGGCUUCACAGACAGCUCCCAUUACUUCAGUCAAGCCCAAAUUUCUUCCUUAUCUGUUACCUAUCUCAGCAUAAUUCUCAUAAAAACACACGUGCUCUCCCUGCCGAUCAUGUCCCACUGAUCUCUCAAACCCCAACACCUUCUAAAAAACAACAACUCCUUUCCUUCCUAGGCGUGGUUGGAUACUUUAGAUAUCUGGUUUUGCCAUCCUAACAAAACCAUUAUAUAAACUCACAAAAGGAAACCUAGCUGACCCCAUAGAUCCUAAUUCCUUUCCCCACUUCUCUUUCCAUUCCUUGAAGACAGCUUUAGAGACUGCCCCCACCCCAGCUCUCCCUGACUCAUCCCAACCCUUUUCAUUACCCACAGCCGAAGUGCAGGGCUAUGCAGUCAGAACUCUUACACAAGGACUGGGACCGUGCCCUGUAGCCUUUUUAUCCAAACAACUUGACCUUACUGUUUUAGCCUAGCCCUCAAGUCUGCGUGCGGCAGCCGCCGCUGCCCUAAUACUUUUAGAGUCCCUCAAAAUCACAAACUAUGCUCAACUCACUCUCUACAGUUCUCAUAACUUCCAAAAUCUGUUUUCUUCCUCACACCUCACACAUAUACUUUCUGCUCCCCGACUCCUUCAGCUGUACUCACUCUUUGUUGAGUCUCCCACAAUUACCAUUGUUCCUGGCCCAGACUUCAAUCCAGCCUCCCACAUUAUUCCUGAUACCACACCUGACCCUCCUGACUGUAUCUCUCUGAUACAUCUGACAUUCACCCCCAUUUUCCCAUAUUUCCUUCUUUCCUGUUCCUCACCCUGAUCACACUUGGUUUAUUGAUGGCAGUUCCACCAGGCCUAAUUGCCACACACCAGCAAAGGUAGGCUAUGCUAUAGUACAAGCCACUAGCCCGCCUCUUAUAACCUCUCAUUUCCUUUCCAUUGUGUAAAUCUAUCCUCAAGGAAAUAACUUCUCAGUGUUCUAUCUGCUAUUCUACUACUCUUCAGGGAUUAUUCAGGCCCCCUCCCUUCCCUACACAUCAAGCUCGGGGAUUUGCCCCUGCCCAGGACUGGCAAAUUAGCUUUACUCAACAUGCCCUGAGUCAGGAAACUAAAAUACCUCUUGGUCUAGGUAGACACUUUCACUGGAUAGGUAGAGGCCUUUCCCACAGGGUCUGAGAAGGCCACCACGGUCAUUUCUUCCCUUCUGUCAGACAUAAUUCCUCAGUUUGGCCUUCCCACCUCUAUACAGUCCGAUAGCAGACCGGCCUUUAUUAGUCAAAUCACCCAAGUAGUUUCUCAGGUUCUUAGUAUUCAGUAAACUAAUGGUCUUUUUAAAACACACCUCACCAUGCUCAGCCAUCAAUUAAAAGAGACUGGACAAUACUUUUACCACUUGCCCUUCUCAGAAUUCAGGCCUGUCCUCAGAAUGCUACAAGGUACAGCCCAUUUGAGCUCCUGUAUAGACGCUCCUUUUUAUUAGGCCCCAGUCUCAUUCCAGACACCAGACCAACUUGGACUGAGCCCCCCAAAAAAAAACUUGUCAUCCCUACUAUCUUCUGUCUAGUCAUACUCCUAUUCACCUUUCUCAACUACUCAUAAAUGCCCUGCUUUUGUUUACACUGCCGGUUUACACUGUUUCUCCAAGCCAUCACAGCUGGUAUCUCCUGGUGCUAUCCCCAAACCACCACUCUUAACUCCCUCUUAAAGUAAAUAAAUAAUCUUUGCUGGCAGGGCUAUGCUGAACCUCCUUAGACACUCUCUAAUUGGAUGUUCUAGGUCCUCCGAAUUCUUAGUCCUUUACUACCUGUUUUUCUCAUUGUCUUAUUCCGUUCUUUUUUCAAUUCAUACGAAACCAUAUCCAGGCCAUCACCAAUAAUUCUAUACAACAAAUGUUUCUUCUAACAACCCCACAAUAUCACCCCUUACCACAAAAUCUUCCUUCAGCUUAAUCUCUCCCAGUCUAGGUUCCCACACCACCCCUAAUCCCGCUCGAAGCAGCCCUGAGAAACAUCGCCUGUUAUCUCUCCAAAGCACCCCCAAAAAUUUUCGCCACCCCAACACUUCAACACUAUUUUAAUUUUUCUUAUUAAUAUAAGAAGACAGGAAUGUCAGGCCUCUGAGCCCCAGCUAAGCCAUCAUAUCCCCUGUGACCUGCACGUAUACAUGCAAAUGGCCUGAAGUAACUGAAGAAUCACAAAAGAAGUGAAAUUUAAAUGGCCUGUUCCUGCCUUAACUGAUGACAUUCCACCACAAAACAAGUGAAAAUGGCCAGUCCUUGCCUUAACUGAUGACAUUACCUUGUGAAAUUCCUUCUCCUGGCUCAUCCUGGCUCAAAAAGCUCCCCCAAUGACCACCUUGUGACCCCCACUCCUGCCCACCAGAGAACAACCCCUCUUUGACUGUAAUUUCCUUUACCUAUGCAAAUCUUAUAAAAUGGCCCCACCCCUGUCUCCCUUCACUGACACUCUUGUCGGACUCAGCCCGCCUGCACCCAGGUGAAAUAAACAGCCUUGUUGCUCACACAAAGCCUGUUCAGCGGUCUUUUCACGUGGACGCGAGUGAAAAAAAGAACUCUUUAAGAGAUUAAAAAAACAACUCUCAACUUUUAGUCUACUUCUUCACUAGGUAAGUCCCCAUCCCCUUGCAACAAUCCUGGAGCUUUUCCUCCUAACCUGUGAGCAGCCAUGUUGGAUAAUAAUAUUAGGGUAAUGAUUUUCAUGAUGUUUUCCCCUUAAGCAUCAUAGAACAUGAAAUGUCAAAAAAAAUGCUCAUGGCACACAGCAAUGGAAUUUUAAGACCCAUCUUGAAUACUUUUGCUUUUAAGAUUCAAGGUGAUGUUACAAAAUCUUAAUGAUGGGACACCAACAUGAGAAUUAGAUUAAACAAUGGAAUAAAAUUAUCAGUGCUUAUCAAAGGACACAACAGUUCUUAUUAACCCAACUUGCAGACAAUCCAAGAAUUACAUGUCUUUAAAGACUAUUUUUAGUGUCGUUAUUUUGAGCACGUCUAUUAUUCUGGAAAUAAUUCAAACUAAAUAUUGAAAUUUUAUCAUGAAGCUUUGAAGAUUGAUUUUCUCCAUCGUGUCCUAUAACUGCCCUUUUGCCCCUUUCCAACUCACCUGGAGAACACCUCUCACACCGCCAUUGUGAUCAGGCCCCAAUAAUUUCUGCUAACUUGCUGACUCACAGCUCCCUUGCAUAUGCAUAAUAAUUUUGCUUCAAAAGUAUCUCUCUUUUCACUAUGCUAAACUUGAAAAAACAUAGCCUGACUAUUUCAAUCAAACACAUCAUUAAGAAGCUAGAAUAUGAAUGAGAUUUUUAAUAGAUAAUGAAAAAUGUGGGUGACCAAUAAAAAGCCACACACAUCCAAAUACACAUAAGAAUUACAAAAAGUUGUGCUCUGAUGGAAGAGUAAGAUGAAUAGAAACCUCAGUCACUAAAGUAUUCCAAAUACUCUCAAUUCUAGGAGGAGUAUAGUUCAAUGCAAAUCUUUCUACAACCACUUCAAAGAGCCUCUAAAUUCUUUCCUUGUGCUGGAAUGCUCUAAUGAUGGCUAAAAAAACCAAGUUGGAGCUUACUUAAUCACCUCCCUGGUCAAAAAGGGAAUAAAAUAAAGCAGACCUCAAAUGUCCCCAGGGCUUCUUUUGGCACCUUUUGUUCAAUUUGGGCAAGUUUCUUCAAGAAUAGGCCAAAUGUAGAAUUAAUCAUCAUUUUCUUAGUCUGUGAAAUACAUUGUUCAUGCUAAUCUAUCUUGUAACUAGUGCUGUGUGCAUGGCUUUCCUUCCUUCUGCUCUAAGCUCCCAGUCGUUUACCUGUCUGUCCUCACUCAAGUGUCACGGUAAAGUGUUUCCUUCAGUCCUUGCUAAGCCAGGAACCCCAUGUUCUGUUGUUGUGGAGAGAGAUCACUAAUAGAGAUACGACCUGGACAAAAGCAUUUUUGCCUUAAUCAAGAUAAAUAUUGUAAUGAGAACAUUAAAGCAAACACAUUGCUGGCAAUCUGCUAGAGCUGGGAGACUGUAGUGGAUUUUAUUUUUGUUGUAAUGGUUUCUACCAUAAUGAAAUUUAAUACAUUACCGGGAAAAAGCCAUGCCCUGUGGUAGGGAGCUGCUUAUAUUUCGAAACACGUUAGCGUGAAGCUACAGCCAGAUCUAAUAAUAGAAAUGAACUUACCUAAAGAUGUAUUGAUUUUUAUAUUAGGUCAUGUUGAGAAUUUACAAAGAACAUCUAGUCCAUGAAACAAAAAUCCUCCAGAGAACAGCAUUGAUUACAAGAAGUGUAAUAUUAGAAAAGUGGAAAUCCUCUCCUCCCAGAAUGGUGCACAUUCAUAAAGUGCACUAUGUAGUUUAGAAAAGGUCAUCUUUCAGAUAAAUGAUAAAUUUGAUAAAAUUCAACAGAUUUAAUCAUCCUUUGAGACUCGAUCAAAACAAUAAUGAAGAAAUGAAUGUAAGAAAAUAUCCAUCUCACUCAUAUAAUUUGCUUAUUGAAAAUAGGGUUAAUUUAUUCUAACUUCUGAACUUACAAACAUUAUUUCUAUUAUCAUGUACCUGUUCAAUAAAAUUUCUCACAAAAUAAAUUCCUAUCUGUUUAGUACAUACUCCAAUUAUUAGAUGGCUUCAAAAAUCAGGAAAUUCUCUCAGACAAAAUACCUGAUAAGAGACAGAGAAUUAAGACAGUAUCUCAUUAUAUGCUUUAUAAAACCCAGAGAACCUCUUUUAGAUGCAAAAGCAUAAAGAGGGAGGGUUAAUUUUUUAGGCUCACAUUUGACAAUGGAAAUCAGCAUUCAUUCAAUAAACCUAUUUUAUAUAUGCGUGCAUAUACACAAAAAAACUUUGCAAACAUUUCUUCAGAGUAGUGUAUUUUAGUACAUUUCUGUGUUUUCAUUAUUCUAAUGUGCGUUGGUCACUCACACUUUUUAUCAUAUUCUUAACAUAUUUUGUUUUCAAAUAUUAGGUUACAGUGUUUAUUUCUUUGAGAGUAUGUCUCUCAAGUAUUCUUUAAUCUAUAAGGAUUUCUGGUACUCCUUAUUCUUUUUUUCCCAAUGUUAAAUUGGUAUAAGACUUGACUCACCUUUUUCUAUUGCUCUGUUUUAAGUAAAAUAAGUUUUCAUGUCCUUUUAGAAAAGAGUGAUGAGCCCUUUCAGCAUUUCCAACUUUGUGGCUCUAAAGCGCCCUCUGUGGAGCCCUACUUUCUGAGACCUGCUUCCUCUGCUUCCCUUUUUCAUUUCUACAGAGUUCAAGCAAACUACAACCUGUGGACUAAAUAUGAACCUUGGGCCUGUUUCACAUUGCUCACAAGUUAAGAAUAUUUUUUAGGCUUUUCAAGAGUUAAAAAUAAAAGAGAAGGAAAGAAGAGAGAGAGGGAGAAAAGAGAUACAGGAGACCAUAUGUGGACCCCAAUAGAGCUUGCAAAUUUACUUUAUGGACCUUUACUGAAAAAGUUUGCCAACUCCUGACUCCUGGACCAACAUUUUCCUUUGAGCUUGCUGUCACUAUCCUGAAUUACUUCCCAUGUAUGAAGCAUAAUGAGAACCUCCAUAAUUAAAUAUAUUCUAUGAGAAUUCAUCCACAAAUAACUCUUUAAAAUUUCAAGGAAAAUAUAUAAAAUAACUCUGAGGAGACCCCUGAGAACAAUCAAGAUCAGAAAGAAACUACUGGAAAGCAUUUAACUCUUUCUUGAAAGAACCAGAGAAUUAUGAUGGUUCAGAGAAGAGACCAUUACUUCCAGGGUGAUUGUCUAGAGAGAGUGGCAUUUUAGGCAGCUUUUGAAAAUGAAAAGCUUUGAAUUUUGAUUGUUUGACAUGUUUGUAUAGGACAUUCUAAUACAUAAGGUCAUGUUAAUAAAUGUUCACAAAUCAGAUAAAAGAACAGCUUGCAAGUUCAGACACUGUAUUUUAUACAAUUAUUCCUUGGCCAAGGCUUCUGCAAUUUGAUUUUAAAGUUUUAAGUUAAAAACAAUGAAUUUUAUAUUCAGUCACAACUAAACCUCAAUAUAUUAACAUUAUUAAAACCAAAGAAUCAAGUCUUAACCACCAGCAUAUCCAAGAAAUUCCUCCUGAUUUACUAUUUAGACAUAAAAAAGAAACAAAAGCAUACAAAGACAUGAAACUUACCCAGGCUACAAUUCAUGCACCACUUCUCAAGGGACAAGAAACUGAACUGUUAUUGAGCAUCUUCCAUUUUAUCAAGCUUACUGAGAAAGUAAUUAAUGUGUAUCAUUGUUUCAUGUAUGUCUACUCUAUGCAAAAAACUAUUCUAGAUACUGUAGAAAACGUUUCCCUUCUUGAAGUUUGCAUAGUAGUAAGGGAAACAUACAUGUUAGCUCAGGGAGGCAUGAAUGAGAUCUCUGCAUUUAUCAGUCCAAUGUCAUAAAUAUCCCUGGCUAUUCAGAAACAGAAAACAUUUUCUCUUCCCCCUGUCCGAUUUGCAUUCCUUUCUUCAGAAUUCCCAUAGUAGUACUGUUCAUCUAUUACGGCACUUCUUAAACUAUAUUAUAAUUAUAUAUUUGACUUGCUUUGAUAACAUAGCAAGAUAUUACAGGCAAAGAAUCAGCCAUCACCAUGUUUUGCCUCUCAGAACUUUGGAAGUACAUGAAUUCCAU